Molecule: non-coding RNA, 73 nt
Organism: Myxocyprinus asiaticus (Chinese sucker)
Lineage: Eukaryota; Metazoa; Chordata; Actinopteri; Cypriniformes; Catostomidae
Source: the annotation of a RefSeq genome assembly
GGUAGCGUGGCCGAGCGGUCCAUGGCGCUGGACUAAGGCUUCGGGGGUGUGGGUUCGAAUCCCACCGCUGCCA